Molecule: ribosomal RNA, 254 nt
Filed under: uncultured bacterium
Lineage: Bacteria
Description: partial 16S ribosomal RNA
Rfam family: Bacterial small subunit ribosomal RNA
Source: RNAcentral
UACGUAGGGGGCGAGCGUUGUCCGGAUUUAUUGGGCGUAAAGAGCUCGUAGGCGGUUCGAUAAGUCGGACGUGAAAUCUCCACGCUCAACGUGGAGGGGCCGUUCGAUACUGUCGUGACUCGAGUCCGGUAGGGGAGUGUGGAAUUCCCGGUGUAGCGGUGAAAUGCGCAGAUAUCAGGAGGAACACCAAUGGCGAAGGCAGCACUCUGGGACGUGACUGACGCUGAGACGCGAAAGCGUGGGGAGCAAACAGG